CCUACGGGCGGCAGCAGUAGGGAAUAUUGCUCAAUGGGGGAAACCCUGAAGCAGCAACGCCGCGUGGAGGAUGAAGGUUUUCGGAUUGUAAAAUCCUUUUUUUAGAGAAGAUAAUGACGGUAUCUAACGAAUAAGCACCGGCUAACUCCGUGCCAGCAGCCGCGGUAAUACGGAGGGUGCAAGCGUUACUCGGAAUCACUGGGCGUAAAGAGGGCGUAGGCGGGAUAUCAAGUCAGAUGUGAAAUCCUAUGGCUUAACCAUAGAACUGCAUUUGAAACUGUUAUUCUAGAGUAUGGGAGAGGUAGGUGGAAUUCUUGGUGUAGGGGUAAAAUCCGUAGAGAUCAAGAGGAAUACUCAUUGCGAAGGCGACCUGCUAGAACAUAACUGACGCUGAUGCGCGAAAGCGUGGGGAGCAAACAGGAUUAGAUACCCGUGUAGUC
Molecule: ribosomal RNA, 440 nt
Filed under: uncultured bacterium
Lineage: Bacteria
Description: partial 16S ribosomal RNA
Rfam family: Bacterial small subunit ribosomal RNA
Source: RNAcentral